Molecule: ribosomal RNA, 468 nt
Filed under: uncultured bacterium
Lineage: Bacteria
Description: partial 16S ribosomal RNA
Rfam family: Bacterial small subunit ribosomal RNA
Source: RNAcentral
GACGAACGCUGGCGGCGUGCUUAACACAUGCAAGUCGAACGGAAAGGCCCUGCUUUUGUGGGGUGCUCGAGUGGCGAACGGGUGAGUAACACGUGAGUAACCUGCCCUUGACUUUGGGAUAACUUCAGGAAACUGGGGCUAAUACCGGAUAGGAGCUCCUGCUGCAUGGUGGGGGUUGGAAAGUUUCGGCGGUUGGGGAUGGACUCGCGGCUUAUCAGCUUGUUGGUGGGGUAGUGGCUUACCAAGGCUUUGACGGGUAGCCGGCCUGAGAGGGUGACCGGCCACAUUGGGACUGAGAUACGGCCCAGACUCCUACGGGAGGCAGCAGUGGGGAAUAUUGCACAAUGGGCGAAAGCUUGAUGCAGCAACGCCGCGUGCGGGAUGACGGCCUUCGGGUUGUAAACCGCUUUCGCCUGUGACGAAGCGUGAGUGACGGUAAUGGGUAAAGAAGCACCGGCUAACUACGUG